Molecule: ribosomal RNA, 310 nt
Filed under: uncultured bacterium
Lineage: Bacteria
Description: partial 16S ribosomal RNA
Rfam family: Bacterial small subunit ribosomal RNA
Source: RNAcentral
AAGAGACAGCAGUAGCCGCGGUAAUACGGAGGGAGCUAGCGUUGUUCGGAAUUACUGGGCGUAAAGCGCGCGUAGGCGGUUACUCAAGUCAGAGGUGAAAGCCCGGGGCUCAACCCCGGAACUGCCUUUGAAACUAGGUGACUAGAAUCUUGGAGAGGUCAGUGGAAUUCCGAGUGUAGAGGUGAAAUUCGUAGAUAUUCGGAAGAACACCAGUGGCGAAGGCGACUGACUGGACAAGUAUUGACGCUGAAGUGCGAAAGCGUGGGGAGCAAACAGGAUUAGAUACCCGCGUAGUCCCUGUCUCUUAUAC